This 8434-nucleotide long non-coding RNA is filed under the name Selaginella moellendorffii. Its description in RNAcentral is "long non-coding RNA (SMOE_LNC000401)". Lineage: Eukaryota; Viridiplantae; Streptophyta; Lycopodiopsida; Selaginellales; Selaginellaceae. The record is from RNAcentral.
UGAUCAGGUGCUCUACGUUAAACCCUCGUUCGAACUUGAUUACAAGGAAAACAGAGAGGAGAGAUCGAUCAUCUCAUCCACAACAAAACCUAUGUAUGAUCAGCAAUCAGUCCCGAAUUCUAGCAGCAGGAGCAAGAGCAGCAGCAGCAGCAAUCGUCCUUUGGCUUCGGCUUGGGCUUUUCCACCUUGAUCUCAUGGACGGAUUCCACAGAAAUACACUUGCGUUUCUUCUCGGUGGCCUUGAGGAUGUCGUCCACCUUGAAAUCACCCGUGAAGGUGUAAAGGGGAUCUUUAACCUCCACUUUCUUCACACCUGCAAGAGCACGAAGAUCUCUUGAUCAGCGAUCAAAAUUUGGGAGAAUUUGCGGAAAUAUACACUCACCGGAGACGCUGUGAUAGAUCUGAGACAUCAUCUUGUCCUUGCAUUUGUUGCAAGAGUCCACUUUCAAGACAACCUGGAGCACAGAGCUCGAGAUCAAACAAGGCUCAACGAAAUCAGCCAGACGCAAUGCUCACCUUCCAAGCCAUCUUGAUUGUCUACGAAUUUGCAGAUGACAGUUGUGAAAUUCGCAGCUUUGACAAGCUUGAGACACUAGAUACCGGAGGACGGAGAAGCGGAAGAGAAGAGGGCCCUGCUGCUGACUGGGGAGACGUCAUGAAUUUAUAUCCGAGCAGCAGUCGUUCCACUCCGUUUACGCAGAAAGUUUCCCGUAGGAAUUGCCGUGUGGAAGCCGUGUUUGUAAUCCCGCGCACGUUCGUAAAAAGAAAACGUUUUUUUAUUAUAAUAUUUUUUAUAUCGAGACCUAGAAUCCAUUUGGCGCCAAAGCCCUAAUUUUUUGAACAGAAAUGUAGGGUUUCAUCUUGAUGGUCCCUGGCGCGCUCACACCGCCUGGAUCGGCACGCUCGUCGUGCGAUGGAAGAUCGCAGGGCGUCAUGAUCCAGAAGGAGCGCCGCCGAAUCUGUGGCAAGCACGGCGUGGAGCCCCACUUCUGCGAUUGCGUCCACGACGCCAUCUUCAUCGCGUGCCUUCGCAAGGUCUGGUAACUGGAUCUUUGCGAGCUUCGAAUUCGCGGAUGGAUUAGAGUACCUCUCCUCGGGGAUGCCAGCGAGUUCCAGCGGCGUUUUGGAGAAUCUCUUCACGCCGUCCAUGCAAGAAACCGCUCAAGGGGUUCCUGCAAGCGCUUGGCGGAAUGCGCGAUUGGAUUCGGCCGCAUGGUGUAAGACUCGAUCUUUGGGUCCGUCCAACAACAUCUGGCACGCUCGCUCGCUCCACUGAUGGUCUCAUCGACGCCAUCAUGGCUUCCACGACAAGGUGAGUGCUCUGCUCUCUCUUUUCUCCAAAGUUUUCCUUGUUUACAGCAUUUCCCCGGAACAGUUACGAUACCAGAAAUCUUCGAGCGAACACACAGGAACACAUAAAGAAAGCAAUCACCCAAACAAUCUGGCGAGCAAAGACGCAAGAACACAUCAAGAAAAAAACCACCCAUGCAAGAACCCAGUUUUAUUCACGCUAUUUGCAGGCUCAGAUCUCCAGUUCCAGCUCUUCCAGAUGGAUUCCUCCGUGCACUCUCGCUUUGUUAUCUGUUUAGAAGCAAACACGAGGUUUGUAUACAGACAAAAAGUUGUAAGAGUUAACCUCUUUCGAGUUUUCGUUGAAUCCCGCAAAGAAUUUAUUGCCUUUGGCGUUACCUCCAAUGGCUCCAGUCGGUGUAAUCGUUGUUGACGACGUGGAAGUAUCCAUGUCGGCAUCUACAAAAGCAGAAGAAGAAGACGAAAUCCUGUUCGAACGGGGCAAUACAAGUUUACGAUCACUUUGGACAGCAUCCUUUUUCUUUCUUAGCUCACAGCAGCACGACAUUCUGAUCUGCGAUCUACGAGAUCCGAGCAACCCUACGUCGCGGCGCGGAAUGGAGCGUACUUCAUCACAUCUGGAGCUGGAUCCGGAAGGAAUAAGCGAGCGUGUUCCAUCGCUAGCUCCAUCUCUCUCCUCCAUCUCAAUGGAAGAAAGAAGAAGGAAAGUCUGGCAACCUCCGCCGGGAAUGGAUGAACACUGGAAAGAGUUCUCUAGCCCUGGCACGGAAGCGUUCUCUCCAUUUAUGAAACAAAGAAAGAAGUUGUACCUCUGGAAGUUUUGCUUGAUAGUAUCCUGAAGAACUUCUUAGCUCUUGCUUCCCUUGACAUGCCUAAACGCUGCUUGACACAAGUUAGUAAUGAAGCAGUCGCCACAGCAAGGCCAAGCGGAUUGCAAAUGGUCUGACCAAAUCCAUGCAUGAAAAAAACAUGGAACAAAAUGGAUUGAUCGGAACCCAUUCUUCCCCCGGCAACCACGACUCUAGCGAGAUCCACGUCUCCUCUGGAGUUUUCGUGUCCUUUCAAAGCAAACAAGUAUGGAUCACAGUAUAGAGAGAACUUUGCUGGAAGAAACAACGUACGAAGCGUUUUUUUGGAUGUUGAUUUUGGAUAUGAUACGCAUUCCAGUCGGUUUGUAAUCCGGUGGACGUGAGUGUCGACACAAAUGCAUGCACGCUCUCCACGUUCAUCACCUACAUAAAGUUUUGGAAGGCAAAAUGAUUUAUAAAUAAAAUAUAAAUGAGACAAAACAGAUAUAAAGCUAUAAUAUAUAAAUAAAAAAUACAUAUAACUCAAUAUAUUAUUCUAAAUGAACAAAUAAACGAACACAACGAAAAAAUAAUAUAGUAUACACAAGGUACAACAUGAAUAUGGAAAUUCCUGUCCUACAAAUUUCAGCUUACCAAAUAACACAAGAAAAAUACAAAUAGUAUAUAAAAUAUUACAUUUAAAAAAGAAAAUAGCAAUUGAAAUAACACAAAAAAUAGCAACGGAAAAUGGACUAGUAAAUGGAGCAGAUGGAGUAUUAUAAAAUGUAACCCAUAUCAAAGAAGAAAACAUAAUAGAUAGAAUCCCCAAAUAUAGAAACAGGUGAAAAAACAAAAGCUAAAGAGUAAAUAAAAAUAAUUUUAAAAAACAAGAUACCAAUAAGAAAAGUAACAAGAAUAAUAAAUAUUGCUAAAAUCCAAAAUUAUGUUUUAAACAGAACCCACCAUAUGUAGGAAGAAUAAUACACAGAGCUUAAGGAUCAACAGUAAAACAAUUAGAAUAUGACCUGUAUAAAACAAAAUAUCAAAGACAAGCAUAUAUAACAUUAUCAAGAGCACAAACAUUAGAGGUAAUAAAGAUGCAGCUAAAGACAUAAUAAGAAUGACAACAGAAGCACCAUGGCAAAUUAAUUUAAUAGAUUUACAAAAAGAGAAAAAAUCUAACCGAACUAAUACAAGUUUUAAAUAUAACAUCUGUUACAGCAUAUCAAGAAGAUAUAAAGAGUGUUUCAAAAUUAUUAACAUUAAAUAUAAUGUUUAUAUAUAUAUAUAUAUAUAUAUAUAUAUGAAAACCCAUAUAGCAAUAUUUCAUACAAAUGACUAUAAAUCAGAAAAAGUAAAACAUUUAAAAACAGAAAAAAUGGCAAUGUCAUAUAUAUCACUAGUGAAAAAUAAUAAAUAAAUACAAAUACUAAAUUUACAUAGAAAACCUGGAACAAUUAUAUAAAUAUUUAUAAAAUAACUACAUAUGUAUAUAUAUAUAAAAUAAUUACAGGAAAUUUCAAUAUUGACUAUCAAAAUGAAGAAGCAAAACCAAUGGAGAUAUAUAUAAAUAAUAAAAGACAAUACACAUUAUAAGAAACUAAUAGAUCAUAUGUGGAUAAAAGAUAUAAUGAAGUAGUACCAGCAUACUGGACAGAUCAAAACAAAUUAUAUAGUAAAAAAUAUUUAAAAAAAAAAAAACAAAACAAGCAUUGCUGCAACACAAUGUACAGCAAUUUAUUUUGUGUUGCUGAUUACGCAAACUGUUAUAAAUGGGAGAGUUUGAGAAUAUUCACAAAAUAUUAUUAUUCUAUAGCGGGGAUUUAAUGUGCUAGGGCUGGCGGCCGGACGAGGCCGUGAUCUGCAACAUAAUUGAAUGUUUAUAAUGUUAAACCUUUUUACUAUGUAACAUUUAUUCCUUGGAGAAACUACAUGGUUAACUAAACCAAAGAUAACUGGUCAUCUAGCACCAACUUGAGGAACACCCAAUUGCUGGUCUGACGAAUGAGCCUAGCAGCUCAUCUAGACAAAAGUGGGAUGAAUCUAGUUGCCAUAAAACUUAGGCCAGGGCAUUGAGAUGGAACAGCUGUUUGCAGGGUGACAGCCCAACAGUGGAAAGAAGAGUGGGAUGAGGGAUCCUUGUCCUCGCAGUUGAGCAAAAACUGGAUGUAUGCGGAUCCAUCAUACACGUGGUGCUCUCUCUCCAGGAGUGCAGAUGAAAGGUAUGUGGAUUAUAUUGCCCAGCUCCUGUUCGACGAUCUGCUGCCUCCACCUUAAUUGUCUUGGGAAAUCACAGCUUUGAUAGCAGCUGAGACACUAGAUAGACGGAGAGCGGAGAGGGCAAAGCCGUACAUACUUGGAGCGGAAGAUGGACUGGUGGUUCUAUAUUAAUCAUAGAUUAAUAUAAGUAAUUUGAAUUAUAUCCAAAUCUGAACAAACCAUAAACCUGUAGACCAAGUCAAUGUUUUGAACGAGGAUUUGACUUGACCAUUGAAUAGUCAAGCACGUUCACACAGGUUAGCAAGCUACGUACAGCACGCAUUACUUUUUUGAAGCUUCUAUGAUUCUCCCACUGAUUCCUUCAUGCAGGCUUUGUGUGUCAACAUCCUUGAAAUUUAAACAUUUCCGCUCCCGCAAAGAUGGGAAGGACCAUUUCAACGUAGCACUCGCGUGCUCUGGAUGUUAGAUUGACAAUCUCAAUCCUAUUGCAACAAAAACUUGGUGAAAGAAACCGAAACCCCUCGUUCGAUUUGAUUAGAACUUACAUGAGAGGAGAGAUUGAUCAUCUCAUCCACAACAAAACCUCUUUAUGAUCAGUAAUCAGUCACGAAUUCUAGCAGCAGCAGCAAGAGCAGCGGCAGCAGCAGCAAUCGUCCUUUGGCUUGGGCUUUUCCACCUUGAUCUCCUGGACGGAUUCCACAGAAAUACACUUGCGUUUCUUCUCGGUGGCCUUGAGGAUGUCGUCCACCUUGAAAUCACCCGUGAAGGUGUAAAGGGGAUCGUUAACCUCCACUUUCUUCACACCUGCAAGAGAAGAUCUCUUGAUCAGCGAUCAAAAUUUGGGAGAAUUUGCGGAAAUCCACACUCACCGGAGACGCCGUGAUAGAUCUGAGACAUCAUCCUGUCCUUGCAUUUGUUGCAAGAGUCCACUUUCAAGACAACCUGCAGCACAGGGCUCGAGAUCAAACAAGGCUCAACGAAAUCAGAGACGCAAUGCUCACCUUCCAAGCCAUCUUGAUUGUCUACGAAUUUGCAGAUCACAGUUGUGAAAUUCGCAGCUUUGACAAGCUUGAGACACUAGAUACGGAAUGAAGAGGGCCCUGCUGCUGACUGGGGAGACGUCAUGAAUUUAUAUCCGAGCAGCAGUCGGAUGGAAUGCUUUCCACUCGUUUUACGCGGAAAGUUUCCCGUAGAAAUUGCCGCGUGGAAGCCGUCUUUGUAUGUACGAUGAAUCCCGCGCACGUUCGUAAAGAGAAAACGUUUUUUUUAUUAUAAUACUUUUUAUAUCGAGUUUGGCGCCAAAGCCCUAAUUGUUUGAACAGAAAUGUAGGGUUUGAUCGCUGGCGUGCAAGACCUUGCGCGCUCACACCGCCUGGAUCGGCACUGUUGUCGUGCGGUGGAAGAUCGCCCCCAAUUCGACAACCAGGGCGUCAUGAUCCAGAAGGAGCGCCGCUCGAAUCUGUGGCAAGCACGAAACAAAGAACAAGGCCAGAGAACUCUUCCGUUCCUGGCCGAGGUUGCCAAACUUUCCUUCUUCUUUCUUCUAUGAAGAUGGAGAUGGAGCUCCAAUCUCUCUCCAUCAUCUAACCAUCCUUCUAGCGAUGGAACACACUCACUUAUUCCAUCCAGAAACCUUAAAAACAUCAUAGUCCGCAUGGAUAAUUAAGAGGGCGAGACCGAUCGACAAGCUAUAGGAGUAAUGUUGUACAGCUGCUGAUGACGUGGCGAUGAUCAUCCUCAAGUCAGCAUGGAAAUCCUACUCCGCAGGGAAUUGCUCCUGUCGAGAGAGUUAACUCACCAAUGUAGGCCGUGGGCUUGGCAGCGAGGCUCGAGGUUUUGCCAUAGACCGAUCCAGCUCUCCAGACGUGAUGAAGUACGCUCCAUUCAGGAACAAGUUCUUCUCGGAUCUCCCGUGCCAGCUCUUCCAGAUUGAUUUCUCAGUGUACUCUCGCUUUAUGAUCAAACAUCAGUUUUGUAGCCUAUACAAAGAAAAAGUUCAAAAAAGCUUUACCUCUUUCGAGUUUUUGCAAAGAAUGUAUUGCCUUCGGCGUUAAUUGUGGGAUUUGGGCUGCCUCCAAUGAUGUGUAUCUUCCAUUCAUUUAGUUGUAGCUUUAUGAUAUUAGCAUUUGUGUAGUCAUGGUUGACGACGUGGAAGUAUCCGUGUCGUGUCGGCAUCUACCAAAGCAAAAGAAGAAAACGAAAUCCAGUUUAGAAAAGCCAAACCCGUGCGCAAAGAAAGCAAAAGCAUGAGGCUGACCUCGGCAUUCUUUCGACUAAACCCUGUUUAAAGUGAUUAUAAGCUACAGUCACUUGCAUUGCCCGGUCCGCAGUGUAAUCGUCGUUGUGUCCCAGGAGCAUCCAAAGCGUGAAAAAAACCAGUUACGAUACCAGAAAAAGACACAAGAACACACAAGAAAACUUCAAGAUGAUCCACAGCGGAUCAUGCCGUAGCGCAGCGUGCCGGGCUUGGGAUUCACUGGGUUUUCGUCGCACAAAGUAGAUCUCCCCGUUCUUACCCCCGAGGCCAAAUCCUCGCGCAUUCAGCCAAGCGUUUGCGAUUGUUGUGCCAGUUUGGGUCGCAGCGCCAGCAGUCGUCGAUCGGAUUGCCGCUGCUACCACAACAGAACGCUACCUCCGAGAAAGAAACAAACAAACCCGGAGUGAGUUGAAACUUUGCUCGAUCUCCUCCACCUCCGGGCAGCGCUCCAAAGAUUCAGAUAGUGUAGUCCAAAGACGAGGAAAAACAAAGCCAAGAAAAUGUGGGUGGGUUUCUAGGCUAUAGUUUAUUAUGGAUGAGCAAGAGGAGCAGCAAGAUGCGGAGGACGCGCUCGUCCUCUUCCCAGCGCCAGCGCUAGCAGACCUUGUGGAGGCGCGCGAUGACGCUGGAGAUGGCGUCGUGGACGUAAUCGCAGAGGUGGAGCUCCACGCCGUUCCCUGGUUGUCGAAUUGGGGGCGAUCUUCCACCGGCGGCCAUCGCACGAAGCAAGCCGAUCUAGGAGGUGUGAGCGUGCCAGGCCUUGCAGACCGUCAGCAACAAAAGGAGAUUGAGAGCGUGGUACCGGAAGAUCUGGAGGAAGCGCUCCAAGAAAGAGAUUUCUUUCAAAAAAUUAUGACAAAUUUGAAAAACUCAGUUGGCGGUCAAUUGGCGCCAAAAUCCAAAAUGGGGUGAGAGAGGCUCGAACUCUCGACCUCAGGAUUUCUCAGGAGCUAUGAGACCUACGCGCUGACCAACUGUGCCACCACCUCUUCUAGAAACUUCUUAUAUAAUUAUAAGUCAAACCGUGCAUUUUAUUUUUCAUCAGAUUCAUUGGACGUAAGUUCAAGCAAGGACGCCUUCCACGCGGCAAUUCCUAUGCGAAACUUUAAGCGGAAAACCGAGUGGAAAGCAUUCCAUCUGACUGGAAAUCUUGCGUCGCACGUUACUCGGGUAUAAAUUCAUGACGUCUCCCCAGUCAGCAGCAGGGCCCUCUUCUCUUCUGCUUCUCCGUCUCUCCGACUCUCGUGGAUAUUGGUAUCGCUUGUCAAAGAGCUGCGAAUCCGUGAUCUUCUCGAUCAAAUUCGUAGACAAUUAAGAUGGCUUGGAAGGUGAGCAUUGCGUCUGGCUGAUUUCGUUGAUUGUUUGAUCUCGAGCUCUGCGCUGUAGGUUGUCUUGAAAGUGGACUCUUGCAACAAAUGCAAGGACAAGAUUAUGUCUCAGAUCUAUCACGGCGUCUCCGGUGAGUGUACAUUUCCGCGAAUUCUCCCAAAUUUCGAUGCUGUGAUCGCUGAACAAGAGAUCUUCAUGCUCUUGCAGGUGUGAAGAAAGUUGAGGUUAAAGAUCCCCUUUACACCUUCACAGGUGAUUUCAAGGUGGACGACAUCCUCAAGGCCAUCGAGAAGAAACGGAAGUGUAUAUCUGUGGAAUCCGUCCAGGAGAUCAAGGUGGAAAAGCCCAAGCCGAAGCCAAAGGACGAUUGCUGCUGCUGCUGCUCCUGCUCCUGCUGCUAGAAUUCCGGACUGAUGACUGACGAUAAAGAGUUUUGUUGUGGAUGAGAUGAUCGAUCUCUCCUCUGUGUUUUCCUUGUAAUCAAUUUCGAACGAGUGUUUAACGUAGAGCACCAGAUCAUUCAGUUUCU